ACGGGUGAGUAACACGUAGGCAACCUGCCUGUAAGACUGGGAUAACUACCGGAAACGGUAGCUAAUACCGGAUAGGUGAUUUUCUCGCAUGAGGGAAUCAAGAAAGACGGAGCAAUCUGUCACUUACGGAUGGGCCUGCGGCGCAUUAGCUAGUUGGUGAGGUAAUGGCUCACCAAGGCGACGAUGCGUAGCCGACCUGAGAGGGUGAACGGCCACACUGGGACUGAGACACGGCCCAGACUCCUACGGGAGGCAGCAGUAGGGAAUCUUCCGCAAUGGACGAAAGUCUGACGGAGCAACGCCGCGUGAGUGAUGAAGGUUUUCGGAUCGUAAAGCUCUGUUGCCAGGGAAGAACGUCUUAGAGAGUAACUGCUCUAAGAGUGACGGUACCUGAGAAGAAAGCCCCGGCUAACUACGUGCCAGCAGCCGCGGUAAUACGUAGGGGGCAAGCGUUGUCCGGAAUUAUUGGGCGUAAAGCGCGCGCAGGCGGCUAUGUAAGUCUGGUGUAUAACCUCAGGGCUCAACCCUGGGUCGCACUGGAAACUGUGUAGCUUGAGUACAGAAGAGGAAAGUGGAAUU
This 579-nucleotide ribosomal RNA is filed under the name uncultured bacterium. Its description in RNAcentral is "bacterial SSU rRNA". It matches the Rfam family "Bacterial small subunit ribosomal RNA", at positions 102 to 668 of the family's 1533-position model. The record is from RNAcentral.